GUCAUCCAUGGAUUGUGAUUUU
This 22-nucleotide microRNA is filed under the name Schistosoma japonicum. RNAcentral describes it as "sja-miR-2d-5p". Its record names the gene sja-miR-2d-5p. The record is from miRBase by way of RNAcentral. Lineage: Eukaryota; Metazoa; Platyhelminthes; Trematoda; Strigeidida; Schistosomatidae.